Molecule: non-coding RNA, 7886 nt
Organism: Drosophila melanogaster (fruit fly)
Lineage: Eukaryota; Metazoa; Arthropoda; Insecta; Diptera; Drosophilidae
Source: Ensembl
AACCACCCACCCGCCCACGCACACACACAACACAUCCACACAGACUGACACACUGACACCAGUGGCAGGCGAAGACAACUACAAAUUCCUGGCCCGAAUAUAUCCUCCUCUGCGGCCGUUAGUCAAAUGUCUUCUGAGUGACGUCAACAAGAACGCCCGCAUCGCAUCGGGAAUUUGCCAGUGAAAAAUUUGCCUCCUCCUCAGCCGUCCCCUUCCUGGUCAUGUGUAGAGCACGUCCUCCACAUCCUCCACGUCCUUUGAGCUCCGCCCACGCCCGAAAACAACCGGCUCACUUUGGAACUUUGUUGUCAACAGUUUUCGUGGUCUUUGCCCGGCUUUAACUUUUGGCCUGUGACAACCGAAAAGGGCGAGGACGCUUCGACAUUUGUUGGCCAUUAAUUAAGCCAAAGUAAUUUCAUUUGGCUGCCCCACAAGCUCCUCCAAGCUUCCACACCCGAAACCCCCCACAAAUGCCGCAUUUCUGGCUGUUUUGUUUUUAAUUGCUAAAUAAUUGCAGGACGGGCAAUACGGGCAGCAAAUAUUAAUCUCGCCGUUCUGUGGGUCGCUGGGGCGAUAAGAGAGCCGCCUGAAUGCGCAGUAAUUAAGAUGCCUCAAAGAUUCUCUGAUGAAUCCAUCAGUCAGUCGGAAAUUGUAGCUUGGAAUCACUUCAUAUAACAACAUUCGGAAAAAGUAUGCACAAAAGUCUUGUACCAUUGGUUCAAUUCGUUCAAAGUUGGAAUUUAUUGUAGCAAACCCCGAACACUUCUAUCUUGUGUCAUCAUGGCAAAGCGAUUAAAAACGGCACGAAAUCCUCUGACACUUUUCGCCCAAGUACCUGCUAUCCAAGUCGAGCUAUAAAAUUCUUAAUGACUCUUUGGUUCAAGUGCGAUAAACUUGAUUUUUAUUCUCUGUGUAGUUGGUCGAGUGGCUACAUUGUUUGACCAUAUGAAGUCCUUUCCAUCCUUUCUGCCAUCCUCAGCAUCGUCGAGUCGACAGAUUGAAGUGCACUCCGCAACCAGAGGCAAGGACCAUAAGCGCUCACUUGUCUCCUUUUCAGUGCAAAAGUCCUGUGCCGCUGGGAAAACAGUCAAUAAAUGUGGCGACACAGGCCGUCUGUCUAUUUGUCAAUAGGCCAACAGAGACGUGACCUGAAUGCCGGACGGAAAAGCAAUAUUGAAAGCCCCGACGCGAAAAUAGAAACUAAUUAAAUGAGAGAUGGUCGGGCAAUUUCGAAGCAAGUGAGCGGUCUAAUUGCCCUGCCUCGUCUGCGAUGAAAACUUGAAGAGACCAAUCGACCCAAGGGAUGCCACCCACACCUCAUAAAUAUGCGAGCUCAUGGUCGCUAUCCAGGUGCAUUGUUUUUCCGUUGUACCUGGCCCAGCUUUUCCUUUUUCCUCCACUUUCCUCCCCACUGAUAAACUGAUAAGUUGCGGCGUAUGCGCAACGUGGCAUGACGUGCCGCAUCCAUAGGCCAUUUCAACGCCAUGCAAAUGCGUUCUGGCAAUAAAAGUAAGAGGCAUCCUUCGUACACAGCGGCUAAAAGCUUUUACGGCAACAAAAUCCCCGUCGGAUUGCAACUAUCUGCGCGUCAUGCUCUUCGCUGUCCGUCGUGAUGGUGAUGCAACUAUUAUUUAUGGCUAGUUCGAUUUACCACGCUGGCGGGAAUGGGGGCGAAUGGGAAUGGCAGUGAAAAGCCAAGACCUCGACCGCAAGAAGGAAACGGCAAAGCCUGGCCAGCUUUCAUCGGGAUUGGCAAUCAACAAAUCAAAAUCUAGGACGUCGAUGGGGGUGCAAUCGUCCUUUUGUGCUGGCCCUGAAUUGAUUGAUAAGUCGGCCACUUGAUUGCUGGCUCCCAGUAGGGAAAUCUUGGCCAGCCUAAAUUGCGCCACAAACCAACGUUUGUUGCUGGGCAAACACAGUGGAGACGCAACAAUUUAAUAAAUUUGCAGUCCCCGGGCGAAAUUGAAAAUUCCGAGCGCAUUACCCUUCUUCUCGCUGCGGUUGCUGUGGCAGCCGCCUCGACAGGAUGCCCAUCUCCACUUCAACCCACCCCCAAUACCCAUCAUUUUGAUUGAUGUCCACCGCCACACCGCACAUAGUUAAGAGGAAGCUCCUUAGGAAUUUUCCGCCUGGCCAGGGCUGUUUACUUAUGAGACUCGCCUGGCGCCUUGGCACACACAUACACGCUCACGGCCAGGACACGUGUGCCCCGGACAACGUGUGGUAUGUGUAAUAUGCGGAGGCGAGCGUUGAGAGCUCGGGCGACAUCUUUAAUGACAAUAACGAAUGUCCGCACUCUGAUUACGUGCGGCAUUUACCACAGGCAGCCGAAGCAGCAAAAAAGUGUGCAAACACACAUUUCAUGGGGCCACUCACAACGGGACCUUCUAUAGAAUAUGGAUCAAAAUGUAUACAAAAUCUGAACUUAUGGUAAAAGAAUAAUAAAUAGAUGCAAAUAAUCUCAGCAUUUGGCUCAAGAAUAUAUGAGCUUUAAAAGGAUUUCCUCUUGAAUGUAAAAUAUGUUGCCUUCGAGUUUGAAAAGAAAGAUUUCAGCGUUAGAAGGAUACAUUUCUAAAAUCAUUCCACAUUUUUUUGCUCUAUAAACAAACUUUACCUAGGAGAAAAGCUGAUUAAAAUUGUAAUCGCCUAGGAUACAGUAAAAGGCGUAGGAACAAGCAGGGAAAUAAAGGGUAAUGAUGUUUCCAUUCACAUAAUACCAUUUAAUUAACAUAAAACGUUUAAUAUUUUCCUGAGCUUGGGACUUGAGCCUCUUUGCUUUGAAUUAAAGUUGAAAGUGAAGUUGUAUCAAAGGAUUAAAUCCUUGCCAAAAUGCCAGUUAAAAACAUAAUUGCUGAGUCUGUGACUGCACGGCACAGUAACCAAAAUCGAACUGGUGCUUAAAAGACACAAUUACAAGGCCUGGCAGGAUGUUGUUAGACACAGAAACACGAAAACAAGGCGUAUUUCCCCCUUUGGCCGGCUGAAGGGAAAAUAUGCCUUAAAGUCGUCCCGCGGGCCACAAUACUUUAUACUCUGCGUUGACAGUACGUGUCAAUGCUGGGGCGAACAAUGCUCUGGGAACAACUGUCAGGGAGGCAGGCGCACAAAGAAAAUAAAUAAUAACAAAGGACAUUAAUCAUGACAACGACAAGGCAAAGGACUUUUCCCCCGCCUCGCAGGAGGACGAACGGAUGGGAGACUGGGUGGCUCGAUGGCGGGGCAGUGCCAAUGGCAAAGCAAACAUGAUGCAAGUGUUCCACACAGCUCGUUAAAGGGCAGCAUAACAAGCACACACACACACACACACACUCGCAGCGCACAGGACCUGUUUAUGCAUUAAAGUCCUGCUCCUGCCUACUUGACUUGCUAAGCGUUUAAUGCCAUCGCACACAUGCGCCACUCGCGCCAAGCAAACAGAAUAACAAACAAAUGAAAAGCAACGCGGAUGCACUGCCUCCACGGCUUUUCCUUAUCGCUUUCCCCCUUCCACGGCUCAGCUGCAGCUGAAAAGUUGUCGCUGCUUUGGAGCUUUAUUAAGUGUAAAUAAGCAGCGGCAUUUCACAGCAGCUUCGGGUCCUGCAGCCACAUUCCUUUGAGUGGGGCAUUCCUUACGGCAGGACCUGCCACACCGAAGCAAAAAAGCAGCCCUUUAGUCCCACUAAGCUCGUCACUCAGAGAGCAAAGAGUGCUUUUUACCGCAGCUAGUAAAAAAUAAAUAACUCAUAAAAGGAGAAACUUAUCUUUAAUUUGCACCAACCAAACUAACAAACACUUCUGCUUUUCUCGUUCAUUAUUCGCUGUCUGUGCGGAUGACGAAUUUCCAAUGAAAUUCCUAACGAACUCGCUUGUCUCAUUUCCAUGACUCUGCUUUGGUCAUCUGCACGAUGCCAAGUUCAAAUUAUAUCAGAAAAUGGUUGAUGGAGGGAGGAAUGGGCCGAGAAACCAGUUUUAAUUUAAACUGAAAAACUGCACUGAGUGCCAGCGCUUUCAGCUGCAUCUUCGCAUGCUGACAUGAACAUGAUUUCUGCUCUGGCCAACAGGGUCUUCUGUACAUCAUUUUGUCAUUUCAUUCAUGAAGUCCUUUGAAUCCGGCUGCACUUUGUGGGCGAUUUAUUAGGAAUUCUGUUUCCAAAGUGACCUGAAACGGACCAGCAGUCGGCCCUUGCCAAGCUGAAAAAGGGGAGAGCGCGGUUUGGCCCUCAAUCGAAUACGCAUUUGGAUUGGGAUUGAAAUUGAAAUUUCAAAUAUGAUGGCUGAUUGCUGGCCUCGGGCGUACAGGCACCGGUUGAUGGGCAUCCUGUGGCAUCCUGUGCCAUCCUGUGGCAUCCUGCGGCAUCCACUGACAUGGGGCUCACUGCUCGUUGCAUGUCAGCAAAUGCAUUCGGGAAAAAGCCCAAGAGGUAAGUGCAUCAACAUUAGAUGGAUUUAUGCCAGGUUUGCUGGAUCACAAAUCCAUGCAAAUGACCUAGGAGCACACCAAAUAAAACACAAUUUAAUGGGAUACACCUUUCACAAUGAUAAAAAUCAGUUGAUUUAGCCGUUGCAAUUGAUUUAAUUAAAUGCAAAUAUGUAAGUUAUGACCAUUGUCGCCACCACUUUGCGUUUCAAUAGAUUUAAUGUGUAAUUACUUUUCCAAUUUGCCAUAAAAGAAUACACACAAAUCUCGAUUGCUUAUUACGUGGGCCACAUUUUUCGCCAUUUCCCGGCCGCCGUGACGUGGCCCUUCAUUUUCCCCACUUUCCACGUCUCUUAGUAUUUCUCGGCUCUUUGGUUCUCAUUAAUGUUUAGGCAGCUUUUAAUUUGCGCUCAUUAAUGGGCAGGGCGAAAUCGAAGAAAGGAGCAAGCGGCUGGGCUGAUGGCACCGGGAAAACUGGAGAAUGGAACUCGCUUAUGAAUUUCAUUAAUUUCCGCAGAGUUGUUGCCCUGCCACUGCGGCUGUUUGUGUGCUGCUGUUGGGCAUGAAAAAUUCAUUAGAUGUUUUGCAUAAAUUAUGGCCGCCGAAAGUUCAACGAGGAUAGUCAAGGAUAGUCUAAAAAACAACUGCAAAUUAUUCCGCAAACUUUCCCCAAAACAUUUGGCUGACAAAAUCGCCCAAUUUAUCGUUGAAGUGAAAGCACACUUAGGUCAAAUAUUUGACGCCCCAAAAGUUUCCGAUUUACAGCCCCAAGCGACCAAUUAAAGUUGUCCCGAAAAUGUCAAAUUAAAUAUGACCUACUUUUUCCAAUUUUUAAGUUGAAAUGGAGAAAUUGCAUUACGGUAGCUACUGAACGUGGUACGUUUAUUUCAAAAUGAGUCGCGAUAUGAUUUUUAAUUACAAAGUACUACAAAAUGAUUUAAAUACAAACUAUGUGUAAACAAUAAAAUCGAUUGGAGAAACCUCGAGCUCCUAGCUUGACCAAUGAUUCUACACAAUGAUUCCUUGAUUUAGAAGGCACUACUGCGACUAUGAGGAGCUAUAACGCCACCAGCCAUAGUCAGUCGACGGUGGAUGCGGGGGGCAGGGGACUUGAGAGGAGCCACAAAGGCCACGAGCCGAGAUUGUUCAGGCUCGACCUUGGAGAUUGGUUUUUCGCAGAGACCUCCGUUGGUAGUCUUGUGAGUAUCUGAUGGUUUGGUACGCUCCUCGACUUCACUGUGUUCCGAUUCGGACUCAUCACUGCUCUCCUCUGUUUGCUCAUCGGAAUCAGUAAGGGAAUCCUCCUCGAAAUCGGAAUCGGAAUCGGAAUCCGACUCGGAUUCAAAAUCUGAAUAGGAAUCACUAUUAUAUUCUGCAUCGCUUCCAUCACUCCCAUCGAGCCUAGCUUUCAAAUACUCCUGGACCAACUUGCACUGCUCCUUCAUUGACAUACUCAUCUGUUUCGACUUUUCGAACACCUGAUUGGCCAAGUCUUCGAAGGACGCGGGUUUUAAAUCUAUGCGCUUCUUGCUGGACAUUUCUGAAUUCUACAGCUUCAAAGAAAUGUCGCGUUUUAUCACUUUUUUUUCAAAUUUUGUUUGCACUGAGAAUUUUUGUUAAUUCUCAAAAACUAGCUGCGUAUCGCACGAGGAGAAGGAAAGUACUGAGAUUUGAUGUUUAUUUAAGUUUUAACGUAUGUAGGACCUGCCUGCUUUGAUUAAAUGUUAGAAAAUCUAGCGUUUCCCAUUCCAGCAAACCAUCUAAUGAAGAAAUAUUUGAGUUUUGACCCUAAUUUGUGUGGCCCACCGCCUAAAUCCAUUACAGUGGCGCCACAAAGUGUGCCACGCAGGUGGGGCAAUUUAAUUGCGCGGCCUCCGGGAGAUAAAUCAAAUCAUUAGUUCAAAAGGUCACUCGAGUGGGUGGCCCGGAGGUCGAAGGGCGCCUUGUGCUCCAGGGGGCGGGUAGCGGUUGUGUUAAUGCCAAAUUAGAGACGCCCAAUGGAGCGUGAUUACAGCAGGCCAAACAUCGCAAUAGGAACACAUAAAUACACAUUAUCCUUUGGACGGGGGGCAAAACGCUUAUUUGCGUAUGCGUGGCGCAUAAAAUCCAGUUCUUAUUAAAUUUCCGCACGCCUACACAUGUCCUGUUCCCUGAUUCCCAGAUUCCCUGAAUUCUGGGUGGGAUAACCACGCACACCAAACGCCUUCCCCAUCCCAUCCAGAACAGACUGGCAAUCGUGAGCAGCUGUUGGUUUGUUCCCUGGCUUUUGGCUCAAUGAAUUUUUGCAUGUUUUUGUCGGCCCAUCGAGGAACGCAUGUUUUUUAUCCUAACACUUGCCGCAGGCGGAGAAGCACUUCCUCGACUUCCCAUUUUCCCAUUUCCCUGCCCUUGGGAAGGGGCACUUCUUUGUUACACCUCCAAGGCGAAGGCGAAGGAGAAGUAAACAAUAUUAACAUUAUAUUAACAUUUAUUUGCGUUUGCCAAAGGUUUCUCUGCUUCGCCCACUUUGUGGCAAAUAAAUACAUUUACAUACAUUACGCAGCACACGAGGGUUUUCCGUAGUUUUCCCUCGCUCUCUAGUUGCCAUUAAAAUACACUAAUAGUCCGCUGCCAAGGGCGAGCUUUCGAAAAGGCAAAAAAAAAAAAGAAAUACGAGCUUGCCCCAAAAAUGGGAACUUCAAAAGGCAAGUCAAAACAAAGUGCCAACAAAGUAAUUGCAGGGAUUUGCCUUGCGGCCAACUCGAUGGGGAUAUUUGGUGGGAUGUGGGAGGGAGGGAAUGGGGUGGGGUCAGCGCCUAGGCCAUUUUCCAUUUCCCAUUUCCCUACCAUGCGAGUAUGUGUAUAUGUGCUGGGAUCUGGAACAAGGGAGUAGCAACCAGUUGCCGCGCCAUUUUCUCGUUUUGUUUGGCUCCAUUUUUCGAAUGUGCCAAAAUGUAUAAAUGUAACUGCUGUGCAUGGGCUGUCCUUUGAACAAUUUUACGCAUAUUUGCACUUAAAUAUAACAUUGCCCCCGUAUGCGAACAUAUACAUAUAUGGCCAGAUAUUUACGAUGGCACGUUAAUUUUUAUGACAUUUUCUCGCUGGCAACUCGAAUGCCUCUCAAAGUGCCCGCCAGACAGCGAUUCCAAUUCGCAUUAUGUCAGGUUUACGAACGGAUAUAUAUCUCAAAGGGACCAGCGACACGGGCUAAUAAACCUAUUAAAUUUGGUGAUAAAUGCUCGAGAGCAGCCUCAAAAACCUGCACACAUCUCACUCAUAACUGGCCAUUAAAUAUUUUGUGUCACAUGAAACCAAGUUAUGAUCAAUUGGCAAGUCAGCUUUUGGGCUUUUAAUUCUUUGCUGAUCUUUAAGGAUACAAUGCAUUCGGAUUCGCAUCCUAUCUGAAUUUAAAUAAGGACACUUCAAAUGAUCUACUGAGCAGCAUCGUAGUCGCAUCGAUCUCAAAUUUUAUUGCUAUCUUCUGUUGCCUGAGCAUAGGACUCCUCUUACA